Acanthopagrus latus (yellowfin seabream) is the source of this 1206-nucleotide long non-coding RNA. RefSeq lists it as uncharacterized. The transcript has 2 exons. The record is from RefSeq and is a predicted model, not a curated record. NCBI's taxonomy places the organism in Eukaryota, Metazoa, Chordata, Actinopteri, Spariformes, Sparidae.
CGCUGCGAUGAAAAAAAAAAGAGAAAAAAUUAAAAAGGUCAUCAGACGUGCUCCGUCAUGCAAAACAGGCAGAUGUGAUUAAAAGAUUACGAGACGACUGUUUUGACAAGACAUGGCAAUGAUGAUUCCAUCCCCAUGCGAGAGCGAAUAACCUCUCGUGUUGCACGCCGCGUGCAAGAUCACGUUGGCUUAAUCCAAUUUCAUGUUUUCACUCAAUUUUCGACGUUAAUGCUGUUAUCUGCAGCGGGCUCUCUAGGCUGAUUACAUUCUUCAUGAUAAACGAUGGAAAAGAUAGAAAACAAUACGGCCCAGAUCUGAUUUGGCCGGACAGAGAAAUACGGUUGUAAUAAUACCCAUAAAUGCAAAAUAAUGUCCAGUGAAAAAGAUGUGAUUCCUCAUACGCACCCCAGCUUAAUUAGGUGUGAAAAUAAUAGUCCCGGCGUUACAGCUCCGACUGACCGAGAGUAAUGUCGAGCUGUUGUGGAAUUGUGUUAACUCCCUUUAUUACUCGGUUUCUGACCUUCAUACUGCUAAUUAACACGGUUGUCAACAACUUGUGGAUUUAUGUGCAAUAAGUGCAUCGCCCAUACGUGCGCUCUUUGAAUACAGCGAGGGGAGAUCCGAUCAGCAGGAGAAGAAGUAAAACAACUUAUGUGACCUUUUAGGCGACUUGUUAAACGUCGGCAUCAGCAGGAACAAAAGCACAAAGCUAUGAACGAGUGCAGCAGAGCACAAAAGGUGGGGAGUACAAAUACUCAGUUGCUGUAUUAUUUUCAUGUGUCUGUACCUUACGCGGGUAUCUAUUUAACAACUUUUUGCUUUACGCCGGUUUCCUGCCGGUCCGAAUCAGGGCCGUAGCCACGGCGCUGCGAUCACGUUCCUUCCUGCCGGCUCUUCCAACGUGAUGAAAUACCACACGUCCCACAAGCUGCUGCGGCAAAAUACAAAAUCGGAACAAUUUCCAAGAUCCUUUUGACGAGAAGUGGAUUACAGAUAGCAUCGGAUGGGGAGAAAAGACAAGGUGUUUCCAAGGGUGCUGAUUGUCUCUGGGUGUUGUGAAAGUCCUGUUUACCCACCGCAUGUUUAACGGGAUCCAAUUAAGAAGGAAACAGUCUCACGGUUUGAGCUUAAUCUCAGACUUCAGCCCGUUUAGACAGUCAAAGUGGGUUUACCACAUAAGUAAACAUUAAAGCGACCAUUACUGUG